This 187-nucleotide ribosomal RNA is filed under the name uncultured rumen bacterium. RNAcentral's name for it is "partial 16S ribosomal RNA". It matches the Rfam family "Bacterial small subunit ribosomal RNA", at positions 340 to 524 of the family's 1533-position model. The record is from RNAcentral.
UACGGGAGGCAGCAGUGAGGAAUAUUGGUCAAUGGGCGAGAGCCUGAACCAGCCAAGUAGCGUGCAGGAUGACGGCCCUAUGGGUUGUAAACUGCUUUUAUAUAGGGAUAAAGUCACCCACGUGUGGGUGUUUGUAGGUACUAUAUGAAUAAGGACCGGCUAAUUCCGUGCCAGCAGCCGCGGUAAU